AAGAAAAAUUAUUUGGGCCUAGGACCAAACCUAACCCAAGCUACAACACGGGAAGAUUCAUCCAGCUGAAGUAACGAAUGUGCUCACGUGACGAAGUCAGUGUUACGCUUCAAUACUCUGCGCCACGUUUUUUCAUCUUCUUCGCAAUCCUGGAUCCAAGCUAUGAAACUUUAAUAUAGAAGAACAUGCUCCUGAGUCCGUCACAUUGUUGAAGAUUGCAACGAAUAUGUGACUCCAGAUUGAAGCUCGAAUCUCCAAUUGCGAACACGCUGUGAAGAAUUCGCGCCAUCACCUACUCAAAACAAAACGCAAGUAGGAGCUAAAUUCAAUAAGGUUAAAGCAUACUGAAGCAGUGUUCCAGCAUGGUGGCUCCUUCGUGACAUACAAGAGUGUUGUGAGAAGAUGGAUUUGCGGAGGAUUUCGCGGAUUGGAGAGGGAAUAGUGAACUUGAAGAGUGAGGGUUGAAGGUUCUCUUUUGAUCUACAGUAAGGAACGCUUAUAUAGAACUUGGAAUUGGUUAGAAAUUAAGAUGAAACUCACAUGAAAUGCAAUGUUAGUUAGAAAUGAAAAAUUAUGUCAUCAAAUUAGUUUUCUAAUUCAUAUUCAAUUAGGAGUGAAUUUAUCUUGCAUUUCAACUUAAUGUCAUUUGCAUUUUUUGCUUACAGUGAGAAUUAGUUGGUUAGUCUGUUGGGUGAAUUAGAAGUUAGUUGGAUGAUGAUAGUGAAUGAAAUGGCAGUCCCCUGAUUAUACAGAAAUGCAGUUAUUUGAAAUGUCGAGAAGGGCCAUAGUUCUGAAACUUGUUAACUAUGAUGAAUGUAGUAGUUGUUGCUCAAUUUCUAUUAGCACCUAUUUGAUAUGCAAUUUAAAAACUUGUUAGUCUGGUUAAAAAAUAAUGAUGGGAUCUGAAUUCUUAACUAAUUAUGAUGAUGAUUGGAUGAUAUGUUAAUUAGUAAUGAUUUAGCUUUUCUGUUAAUUGGUUUAAAUUAUACCUUGCAUUGCCUUGCUACUGCUAUGUUAAAAAGAAUGAACAUGUUAUCCGGAUUUUCAGCUAUUAGGAGGUUUUGUUAUAUUGUAUUAGGCUAAAAAACUAGUUAGAAUACAUUGUUGUGAAUGUUAAAGGAGUGGAUGAAUGUUAACAGGGCUCCUAUGUGAAGCUUUGAUACCAGAUUGUUUAUGUCAAUUGGAUCACAUGCUCUGAACUGCUAUGUGAAGUUGUAUGGCUAUGAAACCUAGACGGCCAUGGUGUAUGUUAUUAUAAUGAAAUGUGAUUGAUGUUAGGCUAAAUAGAAUUAUAUUAGGAUAAGUUGUUAUGAAUGUUAGAAUGCACAUGCUUGAACUUAAAUGAAGUUUGCUAUUUGCUAGGUUGUUAGAGAUGCUUGCAAUCUUAGUAUGCACUGUUAGUAAAAAUUUGAGGUAUUGAAUGUUGGUGUAAUCCCUAAAGGCCAAUACUUUUGGUACUUGUAUUGAAUUAUUUAUUAAUAAUAAAAGACUCUUUCUUUA
Long non-coding RNA from Lathyrus oleraceus (garden pea), 1500 nucleotides. RefSeq lists it as uncharacterized. The record is from RefSeq and is a predicted model, not a curated record. The transcript has 2 exons. NCBI's taxonomy places the organism in Eukaryota, Viridiplantae, Streptophyta, Magnoliopsida, Fabales, Fabaceae.